GAUGGAGGUGAACUUGGAGAACAUCCUGUCCCGCGACUGCAGCAGCCGCUGCCGGGAGCACCGCGAGAGCGCCUCGAUCCGCCGCCGCCGCUCCAGGGCACAGAGACCUACAAUCAGAGCACUGUAUGGAAGUAUAAGCUCUGCUUUCAUUAAAAGAAGAAGAAGAAAUGACUAGAGUUUGAAUGCAACAUGUUGCCAACAGCUUUCCUAUUUUGGAGUCUGCAUCAUUUCUGAAGAAAAUGUGGAUCUAACGCACAUGUACUUGACUAAGGUGUGUAGGAGAAUAUGAUGUGCGGCAGAAGAGAGAAAUAAUUACUUGGACUUGUAUCCUUUUUGCUUUAUGAUCUUUAGAGAAUAUUAUUUAGAAUAAUGCUCUUUGUUUCUAAAAACCAACCGAAAACAGAAUGAAUAGACACACGUGCACGCAUCCUUUCUUGGUUGUGUUGGGUUUCGUUUAGCUUUGGAGACUCUGAAGAACACUUACUUCCUGAUUGCUGUAUCUGUCCUGAAACAAUGAUGCCUAGAAACAGAUUUAGAAGUGAAGCCAAAAUUCUCCCGUGGUCUUUUGAUUUCAACAGUUGCAACUUUUAGAGAAGUAUGUUCUAUUGCAAAACACCUGAUUAAAUCAUAAGAUGUAGCAAUA
Molecule: long non-coding RNA, 643 nt
Organism: Rhea pennata
Lineage: Eukaryota; Metazoa; Chordata; Aves; Rheiformes; Rheidae
Exons: 5
Source: RefSeq, a predicted model, not a curated record